Molecule: long non-coding RNA, 415 nt
Organism: Branchiostoma floridae (Florida lancelet)
Lineage: Eukaryota; Metazoa; Chordata; Leptocardii; Amphioxiformes; Branchiostomatidae
Exons: 3
Source: RefSeq, a predicted model, not a curated record
GACAACUGUCCACAGAACCCAAACCCUGACCAGGCCAACAGUAACGACACCCCUCCUGGAAACGCUUGUGAUAAUGAAACAUCGUUGAAAGACGUCAUCGCUACAAUCUGUGAGAACCAGCCUGACGGUACCUACCGUCCACAUCCGUCCGACUGCUCCAAGUACGUCCGAUGUUUCCAUGCGGGGAAUGACGCCGUGUACAACUGUGCUCCCGGUACCCACUGGAGUCAGGAACUACUGACCUGUGUUAGGUCUGAUCUGGCCACUUGCAGCUAGAUUAGAAGAGGCACCAAUACAACGAACUCAAAUGGACACGAGAGAAAUUGCUGAUCUCAACUUAGCUCAUUUUUUUCAGCACUAGUUCCUUAAACGCAACGCUACAAAGGCAACCACAAGAAAGUGCAACUGCUCGCUU